Molecule: ribosomal RNA, 496 nt
Filed under: uncultured bacterium
Lineage: Bacteria
Description: partial 16S ribosomal RNA
Rfam family: Bacterial small subunit ribosomal RNA
Source: RNAcentral
GAUGAACGCUGGCGGCGUGCCUAAUACAUGCAAGUCGAGCGAACGGACGAGAAGCUUGCUUCUCUGAUGUUAGCGGCGGACGGGUGAGUAACACGUGGAUAACCUACCUAUAAGACUGGGAUAACUUCGGGAAACCGGAGCUAAUACCGGAUGAUAUUUUGAACCGCAUGGUUCAAAAGUGAAAGACGGUCUUGCUGUCACUUAUAGAUGGAUCCGCGCUGCAUUAGCUAGUUGGUAAGGUAACGGCUUACCAAGGCAACGAUGCAUAGCCGACCUGAGAGGGUGAUCGGCCACACUGGAACUGAGACACGGUCCAGACUCCUACGGGAGGCAGCAGUAGGGAAUCUGCCGCAAUGGGCGAAAGCCUGACGGAGCAACGCCGCGUGAGUGAUGAAGGUCUUCGGAUCGUAAAACUCUGUUAUUAGGGAAGCACAUAUGUGUAAGUAACUGUGCACAUCUUGACGGUACCUAAUCAGAAAGCCACGGCUAACUACGU